Molecule: ribosomal RNA, 172 nt
Filed under: uncultured bacterium
Lineage: Bacteria
Description: partial 16S ribosomal RNA
Rfam family: Bacterial small subunit ribosomal RNA
Source: RNAcentral
CUCCUACGGGAGCAGCAGUAGGGAAUUUUCCACAAUGGGCGAAAGCCUGAUGGAGCAACGCCGCGUGCAGGAUGAAGGCCUUCGGGUCGUAAACUGCUUUUAUCUGUGAUGAUUAUGACAGUAACAGAAGAAUAAGGGUCUGCUAACUACGUGCCAGCCGCCGCGGUAAUAC